CCUACGGGUGGCAGCAGUGAGGAAUAUUGGUCAAUGGGCGCGAGCCUGAACCAGCCAAGUCGCGUGAGGGAAGACUGCCCUACGGGUUGUAAACUUCUUUUGUAAAGGAACAAGGUGAGGGACGUGUCCCUUUUUGAAUGUACGUUAUGAAUAAGGAUCGGCUAACUUCGUGCCAGCAGCCGCGGUAAUACGGAGGAUGCGAGCGUUAUCCGGUUUGAUUGGGUUUAAAGGGAGCGGAGAUGGGUUGAUAAGUCAGAUGUGAAAGUUUGCGGCUCAACCGUACAAUUGCAUUUGAAACUGGCGGUCUUGAGUACAGGUGAGGUAGGCGGAAUGCGUGGUGUAGCGGUGAAAUGCUUAGAUAUCACGAAGAACUCCGAUUGCGAAGGCAGCUUACUGGCCUGCCACUGACAUUGAUGCUCGAAAGCGUGGGUAUCGAACAGGAUUAGAUACCCGAGUAGUC
RNAcentral lists this ribosomal RNA (460 nucleotides) under uncultured bacterium. RNAcentral describes it as "partial 16S ribosomal RNA". It matches the Rfam family "Bacterial small subunit ribosomal RNA", at positions 338 to 795 of the family's 1533-position model. The record is from RNAcentral.